RNAcentral lists this long non-coding RNA (1342 nucleotides) under Chinchilla lanigera (long-tailed chinchilla). Its description in RNAcentral is "lncRNA (ENSCLAG00000028225.1)". The record is from RNAcentral. Lineage: Eukaryota; Metazoa; Chordata; Mammalia; Rodentia; Chinchillidae.
GUUGCUUGAGAAGUUUCCAGAAGAAGGCAUGUGUCUUCCUGUCUCCUUCACACCUUGUGGUGGCACUUCUUUUAGAGAUUCUGUGAGGGUCUCUGCCAUCUGUGAGCUGUGCUAGCUUCAUCAGCACCCCAGGAGUCCUCAGUCAAGGCACUGGCAUGGUUGACAGUAGAUUUGUGUGAAGAAUGAUGUGCCCACGUGCUGGCUUGCUGUGGGAAUCUCACACGAAGCCUUUCCUUUUCUUUUACACACAGCACUUGUCUCGCCAUGACAUUUCACCACUUGUCUGAUAACUGAGUGCUUGCUGUUUGAUUCUAAGUUCAAGACUUCAUUUCCUGCCACAUCUAGGGAAGAAGCUGGAUUCAGGGAGGAAUUUGUGAAGAUGAUCUGGGACAGGACUGUAACUGAUUGGGAGCGAAACCUGGGAGCAGCUCUGUGCCCCUGUUCACAUGAAUGCUACUGCCACCGACUCCCAAUCAUGUGCCUGGAGCCCUGACAGCCUCCACCACCUAAUCUGCAAAGUAGGAGACUUCAUGUUCAGGCUACUAGAACAAGAGGCCGUGGGACCAAGCACAUUAGAUGUUCAGGAGAAAAUGGAGCGGCCUAUCCUCUAUGAUGAGAUAACUUGCAGCUAGUACUCAGCAAGUAAGAGAUUCAAUCCACAAAACACUUGCAACAUUUCAGAUCCCUGAAGGUUUCUUCAAGUCAGGCACAGCCUGAUUCGCCAUGACAGCUUCUCUGAAGUUGUGUCCUUUAAGAAGCAAUAAUUGUCAUUUGGGGGCCUUCCGGGUGAAAAGGCAAAACAGAAGCAAAGGAGCUAGAACAAACAAUCACCCAGCUAAGGAAACACUCCAGGUCUCAAGGGCACGGAAGAGAUGCCAGCACACCAACCUGAAGGCAAUAGAAAUUGUCACUGGAGAAGAAAAUAAACUUCCUCAUGGGGACACGUCAACACAGCUUUGUUCCUCUGAGUCAAGCAACUUCGAAGAGGUAACCUACAGAGACACAAGGCAACCUGCCCUGGUUGGUACCAUUUGCAGUUUCAGUUGCUGUUCCUUAUACUUCUCGUAGCAUCUCUGAAAUCAGAACCUCAUGAAAGGGUGCUGAGUGGACAGGUGCUAACUGUUGGGACAAUUUCACCCCAGGAGAAAGGAGCUGGCGGGCUGCUCGUGGGCACAGUGGGCGGCCCAGCAGUGCUGUCUCCUGGAGCAGCCCUGAGCUAGUGGGUAAAUCCUGAGGAUGGCGUCUCCAGUAAAAAGACCUGCAAGAUAGUUUCCCACUGGUAACCCUCUUCGCUCUGGUUUGUCAGUUAUUCAGAGGAAGGGAAAUCUGCUUUAAAAUCGAC